This 2539-nucleotide long non-coding RNA is filed under the name Gallus gallus (chicken). RNAcentral describes it as "lncRNA (ENSGALG00010025883.1)". The record is from RNAcentral. Lineage: Eukaryota; Metazoa; Chordata; Aves; Galliformes; Phasianidae.
GGCACACUGAUGUGCUCUGCUCUGCGUGGGGUGAGGUCAGGGUGGGCUUAAAGCUCAGAGCACCAUCAGGUGCUGCUCGAGCAUCGUCUCAGAGGGGCUUAGGCCAAACAUUCCAGAUGAACCUGGAGAUAAAUGAGAUUUGAAAAUGAAUGGGAAGGAAAAGCUGAUCCAGGAAAAAAAAGCAUGGAUGAAAGGGAAAGGGAAAGCCCCAAAGGUGAGACUCACUGUGAGCAGCUGCAGCUUGAGCCAGCUUCAGAGAGCACCAAAAAUAGCUCACAUCGGGUGCCAGCCUGAGCGCACGCAUGCAUGCUCGAUAUGUAACUUCCCAUAUUCUGUUCUGGUAGUGUAAAAGCGAACAAAAUAGCUCAGCAAAAGCCCAGCUGCUGCCCACUCGUGUUUCGGUGUUUAUCUCAAUGCAUUUGCACUGCUUGACCUCCGGAGGUGUGGAGCCCCAUGGCUGAGCCGCAGCCCAGCGCAGGUCUCCUUGCUCCGGGAUGAGGCAGGGCUCUGCUCUGUAUCUGAUGUGAUUUCUUCUUUGGAAAAGAGAAGUGUGAUUCAGCGGUCAGAGAAUCCCCCCCACUUCGGAUUUCCUGGAAAUGCAGAUGUCCUCUGGCAGGAGAGCUGAGCCGAGUGACCCCUGCCUGCAGGAUGCUCCUGGCCGUCAGCAGGGAAAUCUGUGGGAUAACUUUGGGGGUGAUUUGAAGCUCCUGAGAACCACCUCCUUGGGUCCAAGUGUGGCUUUUUUCUCUCUUCCUUCCCCUUUCUCCCCCUUCCUUUCUUUCUCUGAGAUGUGGGGAUGCUCCCCUGCCCUCUGCUCAGUGCUCCAGUUGUGGCCCAUGGUCAAUGUUUGGUCAACCGUUGGUCAACCAUUGGUCAACCAGAACACCAUUGGUCUUCUUGACCACCAGAGCACACUGCUGGCUCAUGGUCAAUCUUUGGUCAACUGUUGGUCCCCCAUUGGUCAACCAGGACACCACUGGUCUUCUUGGCCAUGAGAGCACACUGGUGGCUCGUGGUCACCAUGGUGGCCAGGAUGAUCCAUGCUGACUGCUUGACAAUGUGUAUAUAUCAUAAAUGAUGGAGUGGUGUGGGUUGGAAGGGACCUUGAAGAUAAGAAUUCUGCACUGAAAGGAGUACCUGACUCAAUUUAUAAUAAUAAAGAGCUGCUACGCUCCCUGAAUUAAUGGCAGACCAUGGAUCUGCAUAAUAUUCUGGAUUGAUAUUAUUCCAUUUUCAAAGACAAGAUGCUUCAGACGGCAAGAUAAAUAGCAAAGAAAAGGCUGGUUUGCUGCACGGCUCUUUCCUGCCUGCACAUCCUGUAUCGCUCCGGAGCAACCUUUGCUUUUAGCAGCCGGAUGCAUCGCAUCCAAUCGAUGGAGGCAGCAGUGGGGACUGAGGGAGUCCUGAGGGAGAGGGCAGGAAAUGGCAGCAAUCACCCACAGCCAGCCCUGUGCUGCUGCUGCUCGCUGCGGGCGUUGCUGGAUUUCAGAUUUUCUAAAUAAAUCCAUGGCAAAGAGUCUUUUCCAGAGCUUCAUGAAGUCAGCCAGGCUCAGGGUGCAGCUGUGUGAGAUUUCCAAUGUGCAAUUCCUAGUUUUUCCCUCUUUAAAUAGGCCUGUGGGUUGUAACAGCACGAAGCAGCGUCCUGCAGGUUUGGGAAGCGAGAGAAAAAGCUGCAGUGACAGCACAGAGCUCGUGCUGCAGGGGGCAAGUCUCCCCAGUUCCUGCAUUUAACCAACCCGACCCUUAUGUUUUCUCUCUCUGGGAUUUCUCUGCUGUCACGCUGCUGAUCACAGGGGAUCUGUUGCUGGGACCGAACACGUGGCCAAACAAAGCUCAGCUCAGCGGUGUGCUCCCAGUGAGCAGCCCCACCAGCUGCCUGCUGCAAACACUUCUUGGGAUCUGCAUUCCCUGCUGGGCUAUGGCUGGGGCCCUGCAUUGCUGUUCAUUGAGAAGACAAUGCUUUUCUGAUUGUUUGGCACCAGGUCCACGCACGUGUGAGCUGCGGGUGCUGCAGGAGAUGCAAUACGUGCUGCAGGAGAUGCAAUACGUGCUGCAGGAGGUGCUGCAGGAGCAGAAAGUGCUGCAGGAUGAGCAACAGGUGCUGCAGAAGAUGCAAUAUGUGCUACAGGAGAUGCAAUAGGCGCUGCAGGAGAUGCAAUAGGCGCUGCAGGAGAUGCAAUAGGUGCUGCAGGAGCAGUGAGUGCUGCAAGAGAUGCAAUGUGUGCUGCAGGAUGAGCAACAGGUGCUGCAGGAGAUGCAGUAGGUGCUGCAGGAGGUGCAGUGGAUACUAUAGGGCGGCACCGGGGGGACUUCGCCCACCCACACCACGCUGCACAGCGCCACGAACCCCAUUUCAAUACGAAAUCACCCCAAAAGCGCCGGAUCCCAACGCUCCUUUCGGAACCCCACAUCCACUCCCCCACACCCCGUUCGGUCCCAGCUUCCAGGAGCCCUUCGAGGCCUCGGGGGCAGCUCAGCUCCAACCCAACCCCGAGGCUUCGCGGCCCGGUCCGGCCCGCCCGCGGGGUGAGGCCUCGGC